GAUGAACGCUAGCUACAGGCUUAACACAUGCAAGUCGCGGGGCAGCAUGGGGGUUGCUUGCAAUCCCCGAUGGCGACCGGCGCACGGGUGAGUAACGCGUAUUCAACCUGCCCUUCACCACGGGAUAACCCGGCGAAAGUCGGACUAAUACCGUAUGUUGUCCAUUGACGGCAUCCGAUUUGGACGAAAGGCUUGGCGGUGAGGGAUGGGGAUGCGUCCGAUUAGCCAGACGGCGGGGUAACGGCCCACCGUGGCUACGAUCGGUAGGGGUGCUGAGAGGAAGGUCCCCCACACUGGAACUGAGACACGGUCCAGACUCCUACGGGAGGCAGCAGUGAGGAAUAGUGGUCAAUGGGCGUAAGCCUGAACCAGCCAAGCAGCGUGCAGGAUGACGGCCCUAUGGGUUGUAAACUGCUUUUAUGCGGGGAUAAAGUGGCCCACGUGUGGGCUUUUGCAGGUACCGCAUGAAUAAGGACCGGCUAAUUCCGUG
Molecule: ribosomal RNA, 490 nt
Filed under: uncultured bacterium
Lineage: Bacteria
Description: partial 16S ribosomal RNA
Rfam family: Bacterial small subunit ribosomal RNA
Source: RNAcentral